GCGGCCCCAGGAGGAGGACGACGACGCGGGAAGUGGGAGCGCCCUUCUCCCGGCCGAGGGGACGAAUUCUUCCGUUCCCGCCUCAGGUUGAGGCGGCGAAGGCGAAGGAAUGGAGAAUAUUCUACCUUCAGAGAAAGGAGGGCUCAAGGAAAAGGACUCCACCAAUUUUGGUCCCAAGAUGCCCAUCUUUUCCCAGCCACCACUCAAAACAUUCUGUGGACAGAAGAUCGUAUCCCAAAGCAGGUUGCAUCCUUUGCUGUUGAGCAAAGGCG
Molecule: non-coding RNA, 272 nt
Organism: Podarcis muralis (Common wall lizard)
Lineage: Eukaryota; Metazoa; Chordata; Lepidosauria; Squamata; Lacertidae
Source: RefSeq, a predicted model, not a curated record